This 347-nucleotide ribosomal RNA is filed under the name uncultured Pseudomonas sp. RNAcentral's name for it is "bacterial SSU rRNA". It matches the Rfam family "Bacterial small subunit ribosomal RNA", at positions 1037 to 1382 of the family's 1533-position model. Lineage: Bacteria; Pseudomonadati; Pseudomonadota; Gammaproteobacteria; Pseudomonadales; Pseudomonadaceae. The record is from RNAcentral.
GGUGCUGCAUGGCUGUCGGUCAGCUCGUGUCGUGAGAUGUUGGGUUAAGUCCGUAACGAGCGCAACCCUUGUCCUUAGUUACCAGCACGUUAUGGUGGGCGACUCUAAGGAGACUGCCGGUGACAAACCGGAGGAAGGUGGGGAUGACGUCAAGUCAUCAUGGCCCUUACGGCCUGGGCUACACACGUGCUACAAUGGUCGGUACAAAGGGUUGCCAAGCCGCGAGGUGGAGCUAAUCCCAUAAAACCGAUCGUAGUCCGGAUCGCAGUCUGCAACUCGACUGCGUGAAGUCGGAAUCGCUAGUAAUCGUGAAUCAGAAUGUCACGGUGAAUACGUUCCCGGGCCUU